CCUUCAGUAGAGGAGAGGAGGAAAAACUACCCAAUCAACCUGAGAUUAAUCCAAGAGGGCAAUAUAUGGCUGAAUUUUAAUGCCUAUGAAAUUUUUUCAAAAUAGGCCAAAUCUAUCAUGACUCUUAGGAAUGAAAAGGUCAUAGAACAACUGAGUAAAAUCAAAAAGAUCAAAACUAAUGAGAAGUUGACUGAACCUGAUCCAUCCAAGGAUAAGGAGGAUCCUAAGGCGAGGGACGAACCAACAUCAUUAGCACCACC
Molecule: long non-coding RNA, 260 nt
Filed under: Elaeis guineensis (African oil palm)
Lineage: Eukaryota; Viridiplantae; Streptophyta; Magnoliopsida; Arecales; Arecaceae
Description: long non-coding RNA (EGUI_LNC033836)
Source: RNAcentral